GGCGACGACGGGUAGCCGGCCUGAGAGGGUGUCCGGCCACACUGGGACUGAGAUACGGCCCAGACUCCUACGGGAGGCAGCAGUGGGGAAUAUUGCACAAUGGGCGCAAGCCUGAUGCAGCGACGCCGCGUGGGGGAUGACGGCCUUCGGGUUGUAAACCUCUUUCAGCAGGGACGAAGCGCAAGUGACGGUACCUGCAGAAGAAGCACCGGCCAACUACGUGCCAGCAGCCGCGGUAAUACGUAGGGUGCGAGCGUUGUCCGGAAUUACUGGGCGUAAAGAGCUCGUAGGUGGUUUGUCGCGUUGUUCGUGAAAACCGGGGGCUUAACCCUCGGCGUGCGGGCGAUACGGGCAGACUGGAGUACUGCAGGGGAGACUGGAAUUCCUGGUGUAGCGGUGGAAUGCGCAGAUAUCAGGAGGAACACCGGUGGCGAAGGCGGGUCUCUGGGCAGUAACUGACGCUGAGGAGCGAAAGCGUGGGGAGCGAACAGGAUUAGAUACCCUGGUAGUCCACGCCGUAAACGGUGGGUACUAGGUGUGGGUUUCCUUCCUUGGAAUCCGUGCCGUACCUACCGCAUAAAGUAC
RNAcentral lists this ribosomal RNA (585 nucleotides) under uncultured bacterium. RNAcentral's name for it is "bacterial SSU rRNA". It matches the Rfam family "Bacterial small subunit ribosomal RNA", at positions 272 to 867 of the family's 1533-position model. The record is from RNAcentral.